Camellia sinensis is the source of this 235-nucleotide non-coding RNA. The record is from RefSeq and is a predicted model, not a curated record. Lineage: Eukaryota; Viridiplantae; Streptophyta; Magnoliopsida; Ericales; Theaceae.
ACAAACCACUUGUUCAACAAUUGUGGAUGGCUUGGUUUGGAUUUUUCCUGGUUUAGAUACCCUAACCAUAAAGUCUGCUUCUACCAAUAAGCUCAUUAAGUUCUUCCAACAUUUUUCGGAGAAUGUAUACAGAGCCUUGCCAGCUAGCACAAUUGGGUUUUGUUAAUUACAGUUCUUCCAACAUUUCUCAUGUUCAAUACAGAAGACAAUCUUGCUUUUUCGCAUUGUUCUGUGA